Molecule: unclassified non-coding RNA, 200 nt
Filed under: Mortierellaceae sp.
Lineage: Eukaryota; Fungi; Mortierellomycota; Mortierellomycetes; Mortierellales; Mortierellaceae
Description: partial internal transcribed spacer 2
Source: RNAcentral
UUAAGUUCAGCGGGUAGUCUUACUUGAUUUGAGAUCGAGUUCACAAGUUCUGUUACGAACGAGUUUUCCUGCAAUCAGCGAUUGUGGUUCAUUCAACCUUUAUGUUAGCUGAAGCAAAAGUAAUAAUCCGUUUGACGGGACUAAAUAGAUAUGCUUUUAGCUCAGAAGAAUGUCCUGCUGCACCUGCAUUUCAAGCGACC